This 253-nucleotide ribosomal RNA is filed under the name uncultured bacterium. RNAcentral's name for it is "partial 16S ribosomal RNA". It matches the Rfam family "Bacterial small subunit ribosomal RNA", at positions 524 to 776 of the family's 1533-position model. The record is from RNAcentral.
UACGUAGGGGGCAAGCGUUGUCCGGAAUUAUUGGGCGUAAAGGGCGCGUAGGCGGAUCGUUAAGUCCGGUGUGAAAGAUCAGGGCUCAACCCUGAGAGUGCAUCGAAAACUGGAGAUCUUGAGGACAGGAGAGGAAAGUGGAAUUCCUAGUGUAGCGGUGAAAUGCUUAGAUAUUAGGAGGAACACCAGUGGCGAAGGCGACUUUCUGGACUGUAACUGACGCUGAGGCGCGAAAGCGUGGGGAGCAAACAGG